AUACUUCAUAAUAAAAUUACUCAAGUAAAAGUAAAAAGUUAAUAUUUUUUUAAAAAAGGUUAUUCAAGUAAAUGUAACUGAGUAAAUGUAAUUAGUUACCACCCAACUCUGCCUAAAUGCAGUCAGUUUUGUUGAACAAAUGUCAAAGAAAUCCUAUUUUCUUGCUGUGAAAGAAGCGAGAAAAUAUUUCUGAAAAUGUUGCUUUCAGAAAGAUUCGAUUUGCAUCAUGUUUGGCAAAACCUGCAACCCCUCUGAUGAGCGUGACGCGCUGCGAAUCGACGUCCAGUCUGGUUUCUGCUCAGAUGUGGUGAAGGUUGCAGAAAUCCCCGAGCUCUGUGGCUCUCCAGCAUCUCUGCCGGAGUCGGCAGCGAUGCGGCGAAUGUUGGAGAGGUGAUUUCAUGAACCGCCUGCUGGGCAACAUGCUAGGGUUGCUGUCUCUCAUGGGAGAAGAACUUGUUUUUGUUGCUUUAUAUUUAUUUUCAAAACUUAUUAAGAGACUUUAAAGACUUGUUCAAACAUUUUGUGAAGCUCACCUGGACGGUGAGACGUUUAUUUUUGUUUUUUUUAGCAGUGUAUGUAGAGGAGGAUGCAGAGGAGGCUCAGGAGAGACGGAGGACAGACUGAACAAAGCUGUGUUGAAUCGGUUUGACUGCAGAGAUGAGACGAGCCAGCUUCCAGCGGCUCUCUGCCAGUUGCUUAGUAACUGGUGUUUUCAGCUAAAGUCUACAGUCAAAAUGUCCAAAUUAAAGAGGACCUGAAGGAACAAGUGACCAACGCAAACACAUUCCUCCCAGCGGCACAUUUUGUCAGUUUGCUACAGAAAGGGACGUCAGCGGCAGCAUGGCAUCUCGCUGCUUUACUGACAUCAACAGAGGGGCCCCCUCAGGCGACCUGCACACACUCUGCCGUAAUGGGCCUCCUCAUGGUUGGAGGUCUCCUGUCAAAUCUCGGAGCUGAAAACCCCCCCGGAGAAGAGCGAGGGUUUGAAGUCGGAAUAAAGAUUCAGACGGGGGAGAGAAAGCAGCUCUCCUCUGGGCUUUUUCUCGCAGCCAGGUGUGAACGCUGGAAGGUGGCGCGGUUCGCUUCCUGAGUGGAUGAAGACAUCAAAGUUCAAACCUAAACACAAUGGACAGAUUUCUGUUUUAUUCUCAAAGAACUCGGUUUAGACGGUUAUUUUAGGCCUCUGGAGGACGGGUCCAAAAAGAGAGGCGCUAAACCUCAAACUAAAUCUUACAGAGUAUUUUUGAAUUUGUUUCUAGUACAAAAAAAUCUUGGGAUAUGACAAACUAACUUAUAAGUAACUUUUUAGCAAGAUAUUUUAAGUAAAUAAUUCCUUAAUAUUGGUGAAAAAGUUCUAGUUCCAGAGGAAAGGAGAAUUAAAGCCGUUACCUAGCAACCCCGGCCAAGCCCAGCUCGUCUCCUAGCAACCAGUUCUAGUUCCACUGGCAGAAGUGAAAUAAUCUACCACUGGAACUUUUUCACCAACAUUAAGAAAUCAUUUACUUAAAAUAAUGUGUUGCUGAAAAGUUAGUUUGAAGUGAGUUUGUCGUAUUUCACGUGUAAUAAGAUAUUUUCACUAGAAACUGGACCAGAAAUUCUUGGUAAGAUUUUGAGCUUUUGCAGUGCUGAAACCAACUUUUAGCUUUUUGUCCUUGCAGAUGGGCAGAGAGCCUGGAGCGAUCUUCCUCCCUCCUCCUCCUCUUCUUCCUCCUCAGCAGGACCCAAUCUUCUCUUCGCUUGGUAAAUCUUUAUGUUUCUGAAGAUCUCCGGAGGGGGGCUUCGCUGCAAGGAAGGUGACCGAACCUUUACCUGAAAGGAACAAAAAACUGACAGAAAGUUUUACAGGAUGGUUUUCGUUUUCUUAAUUUCCUCUCUGAGGGAGAAGGAGACUUUUCUUCCUGUCCUUAUCAGAGCCUCUGCUGAUUGAGAUCAGCAUGAUCAGGUGGAAUCGAGGAUAUGAAAUCUUAUCAAUUUGAAUUACGACUGGAUUUUAUUGUGUUAAAAGUUGAAGAAGGAUUUUUUGUAUCAUUAUUAUUAUUAUUAUUAUUAUUAAGUUCUGGAGUGCCUCCCGUCAAUCCCAGACGGAGAUCUCCAGCUGAUCAGAGAUGGAUGGCGGUGAUGUGCAGACUGUGUGUCAGUGUGUGAACAGAGCUUCAGUGCAGUGGUUGCAAGUCGUCACGUUAAAACCCGAGGAGUAGAUUUACCUCCCUGCCUUCUGUUUCUGUAUGAGGCUGCACUUCUGUUUUGUAAAGAAAUAAAAACUCCUGUUGGGUCUUAA
Xiphophorus couchianus (Monterrey platyfish) is the source of this 2278-nucleotide long non-coding RNA. RefSeq lists it as uncharacterized. The transcript is spliced from 3 exons. The record is from RefSeq and is a predicted model, not a curated record. NCBI's taxonomy places the organism in Eukaryota, Metazoa, Chordata, Actinopteri, Cyprinodontiformes, Poeciliidae.